CUAAGGUAGCAUAAUAACUCGCCUUUUUAUUGAUGGAUAGAAUAAACGGUCAAACGUAUAGGGCCUACUCUUAAAAUACAUACAAUAAUUUUUUUCAAAUGUAAAAAAACAUCUAUUAUCUAGAGGGACGAUAAGACCCUAAAAUCUGUCUAUAAAAAUAAAUCUUAGAAAUACACUGUAUAAGACUUGCUGGGGCGGCAAAUACUCCUAACAAACUAUAUCAUUACGCUUUUGGCGAAUUAUAACUAUCCUUUUGAGAAUAUAAAGAUACUUUAGGGAUAACAGCAUAACUUCUCUUCAGAGCUC
Molecule: ribosomal RNA, 306 nt
Filed under: Ligidium cavaticum
Lineage: Eukaryota; Metazoa; Arthropoda; Malacostraca; Isopoda; Ligiidae
Description: partial large subunit ribosomal RNA
Source: RNAcentral